Molecule: ribosomal RNA, 683 nt
Filed under: uncultured bacterium
Lineage: Bacteria
Description: bacterial SSU rRNA
Rfam family: Bacterial small subunit ribosomal RNA
Source: RNAcentral
AGUGGCGGACGGGUGAGUAACGCGUGAGAAUCUGCCUUGGGGUCGGGGACAACCACUGGAAACGGUGGCUAAUACCGGAUAAGCCGAUUGGUGAAAGAUUUAUUGCCCGAAGAGGAGCUCGCGUCUGAUUAGCUAGUUGGUGAGGUAAGAGCUCACCAAGGCAGCGAUCAGUAGCUGGUCUGAGAGGACGAUCAGCCACACUGGGACUGAGACACGGCCCAGACUCCUACGGGAGGCAGCAGUGGGGAAUUUUGCGCAAUGGGGGAAACCCUGACGCAGCAACGCCGCGUGAGUGAAGAAGCAUCUUGGUGUGUAAAGCUCUGUCGAUAGGGACUAAGAAUCGUUGCCUAAUAAGUAACGAGAUUGAAUGUACCUAUAAAGGAAGCCCCGGCUAACUCCGUGCCAGCAGCCGCGGUAAUACGGAGGGGGCAAGCGUUAUUCGGAAUUACUGGGCGUAAAGGGCGCGUAGGCGGCGCAUUAAGUGAGAAGUGAAAGCCCACGGCUUAACCGUGGAAUUGCUUCUCAUACUGGUGUGCUAGAGUAUGGGAGAGGAAAGUGGAAUUCCCGGUGUAGCGGUGAAAUGCGUAGAGAUCGGGAGGAACACCAGUGGCGAAGGCGACUUUCUGGACCAUUACUGACGCUGAUGCGCGAAAGCGUGGGUAGCAAACAGGAUUAGAUACCCU